RNAcentral lists this ribosomal RNA (494 nucleotides) under uncultured bacterium. RNAcentral's name for it is "partial 16S ribosomal RNA". It matches the Rfam family "Bacterial small subunit ribosomal RNA", at positions 28 to 507 of the family's 1533-position model. The record is from RNAcentral.
GACGAACGCUGGCGGCGCGCUUAACACAUGCAAGUCGAACGGAAAGGCCUGCUUUCCCUUGUGUAUUGUGGGUACUCGAGUGGCGAACGGGGGAGUAACACGUGAGUGAUCUGCCCCCAACUUGGGUAUAAGCCUGGGAAACUGGGUCUAAUUUCCGAUAGGACUGCAGGGUGGUUCCUGUGGUGGAAAACGAUUUUCUAGUGGUUGGGGAUGAGCUCGCGGCCUUUCAGCUUGUUGGUGGGGUAAUGGCCGACCAAGGCGGCGACGGGUAGCCGGCCUGGGAGGGUGGACGGCCACAUUGGGACUGGGAUACGGCCCAGACUCCUACGGGAGGCAGCAGUGGGGAAUAGUGCACAAUGGGCGGAAGCCUGAUGCAGCGACGCCGCGGGGGGGAUGACGGCCUUCGGGUUGUAAACUCCUUUCGACCGCGAGGAAGCCACCUGGUUGGAAGGGUGGUGACGGUAGUGGGAGAAGAAGCACCGGCUAACUACGUG